GAUGAACGCUAGCGGCAGGCUUAACACAUGCAAGUCGAGGGGUAACAUAGAAAAGCUUGCUUUUCUGAUGACGACCGGCGCACGGGUGCGUAACGCGUAUACAACCUACCUUUUAGCGGGGAAUAGCCCAGGGAAACUUGGAUUAAUGCCCCAUAGUAUAUAGACUUCUCCUGAAGCUUAUAUUAAACAUUUAUGGCUAUUAGAUGGGUAUGCGUCCUAUUAGUUAGUUGGUAAGGUAACGGCUUACCAAGGCGGCGAUAGGUAGGGGUCCUGAGAGGGAGAUCCCCACACUGGUACUGAGACACGGACCAGACUCCUACGGGAGGCAGCAGUGAGGAAUAUUGGACAAUGGGCGAGAGCCUGAUCCAGCCAUGCCGCGUGCAGGAAGACUGCCCUAUGGGUUGUAAACUGCUUUUUACAGAGGAAGAACCACCCCCACGUGUGGGGGUUUGACGGUACUCUGCGAAUAAGGAUCGGCUAACUCCGUG
RNAcentral lists this ribosomal RNA (488 nucleotides) under uncultured bacterium. RNAcentral describes it as "bacterial SSU rRNA". It matches the Rfam family "Bacterial small subunit ribosomal RNA", at positions 28 to 507 of the family's 1533-position model. The record is from RNAcentral.